This 27-nucleotide small RNA is filed under the name Bombyx mori (domestic silkworm). RNAcentral's name for it is "ovarian small RNA-14571". Lineage: Eukaryota; Metazoa; Arthropoda; Insecta; Lepidoptera; Bombycidae. The record is from RNAcentral.
CGUGAUACUAAGAACAGAUUGAAAUAC